This 465-nucleotide ribosomal RNA is filed under the name Vreelandella stevensii. RNAcentral's name for it is "partial 16S ribosomal RNA". It matches the Rfam family "Bacterial small subunit ribosomal RNA", at positions 338 to 795 of the family's 1533-position model. Lineage: Bacteria; Pseudomonadati; Pseudomonadota; Gammaproteobacteria; Oceanospirillales; Halomonadaceae. The record is from RNAcentral.
CCUACGGGUGGCUGCAGUGGGGAAUAUUGGACAAUGGGCGAAAGCCUGAUCCAGCCAUGCCGCGUGUGUGAAGAAGGCCUUCGGGUUGUAAAGCACUUUCAGUGGGGAAGAAAGCCUUGGGGCUAAUACCCUCGAGGAAGGACAUCACCCACAGAAGAAGCACCGGCUAACUCCGUGCCAGCAGCCGCGGUAAUACGGAGGGUGCGAGCGUUAAUCGGAAUUACUGGGCGUAAAGCGCGCGUAGGCGGUCUGAUAAGCCGGUUGUGAAAGCCCCGGGCUCAACCUGGGAACGGCAUCCGGAACUGUCAGGCUAGAGUGCAGGAGAGGAAGGUAGAAUUCCCGGUGUAGCGGUGAAAUGCGUAGAGAUCGGGAGGAAUACCAGUGGCGAAGGCGGCCUUCUGGACUGACACUGACGCUGAGGUGUGAAAGCGUGGGUAGCAAACAGGAUUAGAUACCCUAGUAGUC